RNAcentral lists this unclassified non-coding RNA (318 nucleotides) under Hevea brasiliensis (rubber tree). The record is from RNAcentral. Lineage: Eukaryota; Viridiplantae; Streptophyta; Magnoliopsida; Malpighiales; Euphorbiaceae.
GCAUGAUUGUUUUUUCGAAAAGUUUGAAUACGAUAGGGUGUGGUUAUGAUAAAUAAGCAUAUUUUUACUAUAUAUCACAUGAAAAAAUAAUCAUGAUGCGUGCAUAUAUUCUACCACUUUUUGGAAUGCAUAAACAUUUAAAAGUAUCAAGUAGGUUCAAGAUAGAAAAUAAAACCAAUUAAAGAGCAAAGACAUCAACAACCUAAUUUCUGGCUAAUUUUUAUAGCAUGUCCCAGAACUUUGCCCCGUGUCACUUUCAUCCGUUUACUUCAGUUUGUUACUAAAAAUCCUUGAACUUUAAUUUUGUUUCACAAAAAU